UACGGGGGGAGCAAGCGUUGUUCGGAUUUACUGGGCGUAAAGGGCGCGUAGGCGGUCGUGACAAGUCACUUGUGAAAUCUCCGGGAUUAACUCGGAACGGUCAAGUGAUACUGUCGGACUAGAGUACAGAAGGGGCAACUGGAAUUCUCGGUGUAGCGGUGAAAUGCGUAGAUAUCGAGAGGAACACCUGCGGCGAAGGCGGGUUGCUGGGCUGAUACUGACGCUGAGGCGCGAAAGCCAGGGGAGCGAAUGGG
This 254-nucleotide ribosomal RNA is filed under the name uncultured bacterium. Its description in RNAcentral is "partial 16S ribosomal RNA". It matches the Rfam family "Bacterial small subunit ribosomal RNA", at positions 524 to 776 of the family's 1533-position model. The record is from RNAcentral.